CCAUCAUUUAAAGAAAGCGUAAUAGCUCACUGGUCGAGUCGGCCUGCGCGGAAGAUGUAACGGGGCUAAACCAUGCACCGAAGCUGCGGCAGCGACGCUGAUGCGUUGUUGGGUAGGGGAGCGUUCUGUAAGCCUGUGAAGGUGGCCUGUGAGGGUUGCUGGAGGUAUCAGAAGUGCGAAUGCUGACAUAAGUAACGAUAAAGCGGGUGAAAAGCCCGCUCGCCGGAAGACCAAGGGUUCCUGUCCAACGUUAAUCGGGGCAGGGUGAGUCGACCCCUAAGGCGAGGCCGAAAGGCGUAGUCGAUGGGAAACGGGUUAAUAUUCCCGUACUUGGUGUUACUGCGAAGGGGGGACGGAGAAGGCUAUGUUGGCCGGGCGACGGUUGUCCCGGUUUAAGCGUGUAGGUGUGUGUUCCAGGUAAAUCCGGUUCACUUUAACACUGAGGCGUGAUGACGAGGCACUACGGUGCUGAAGCAACAAAUGCCCUGCUUCCAGGAAAAGCCUCUAAGCAUCAGGUAACAUCAAAUCGUACCCCAAACCGACACAGGUGGUCAGGUAGAGAAUACCAAGGCGCUUGAGAGAACUCGGGUGAAGGAACUAGGCAAAAUGGUGCCGUAACUUCGGGAGAAGGCACGCUGACACGUAGGUGAAGUGAUUUACUCAUGGAGCUGAAGUCAGUCGAAGAUACCAGCUGGCUGCAACUGUUUAUUAAAAACACAGCACUGUGCAAACACGAAAGUGGACGUAUACGGUGUGACGCCUGCCCGGUGCCGGAAGGUUAAUUGAUGGGGUCAGCGCAAGCGAAGCUCCUGAUCGAAGCCCCGGUAAACGGCGGCCGUAACUAUAACGGUCCUAAGGUAGCGAAAUUCCUUGUCGGGUAAGUUCCGACCUGCACGAAUGGCGUAAUGAUGGCCAGGCUGUCUCCACCCGAGACUCAGUGAAAUUGAACUCGCUGUGAAGAUGCAGUGUACCCGCGGCAAGACGGAAAGACCCCGUGAACCUUUACUAUAGCUUGACACUGAACAUUGAGCCUUGAUGUGUAGGAUAGGUGGGAGGCUUUGAAGCGUGGACGCCAGUCUGCAUGGAGCCGGCCUUGAAAUACCACCCUUUAAUGUUUGAUGUUCUAACGUGGACCCGUGAUCCGGGUUGCGGACAGUGUCUGGUGGGUAGUUUGACUGGGGCGGUCUCCUCCUAAAGAGUAACGGAGGAGCACGAAGGUUGGCUAAUCCUGGUCGGACAUCAGGAGGUUAGUGCAAUGGCAUAAGCCAGCUUGACUGCGAGCGUGACGGCGCGAGCAGGUGCGAAAGCAGGUCAUAGUGAUCCGGUGGUUCUGAAUGGAAGGGCCAUCGCUCAACGGAUAAAAGGUACUCCGGGGAUAACAGGCUGAUACCGCCCAAGAGUUCAUAUCGACGGCGGUGUUUGGCACCUCGAUGUCGGCUCAUCACAUCCUGGGGCUGAAGUAGGUCCCAAGGGUAUGGCUGUUCGCCAUUUAAAGUGGUACGCGAGCUGGGUUUAGAACGUCGUGAGACAGUUCGGUCCCUAUCUGCCGUGGGCGCUGGAGAACUGAGGGGGGCUGCUCCUAGUACGAGAGGACCGGAGUGGACGCAUCACUGGUGUUCGGGUUGUCAUGCCAAUGGCACUGCCCGGUAGCUAAAUGCGGAAGAGAUAAGUGCUGAAAGCAUCUAAGCACGAAACUUGCCCCGAGAUGAGUUCUCCCUGAGACUUAGAGUCUCCUGAAGGAACGUUGAAGACGACGACGUUGAUAGGCCGGGUGUGUAAGCGCAGCGAUGCGUUGAGCUAACCGGUACUAAUGAACCGUGAGGCUUAACCUU
Molecule: ribosomal RNA, 1832 nt
Filed under: Salmonella enterica subsp. enterica serovar Choleraesuis
Lineage: Bacteria; Pseudomonadati; Pseudomonadota; Gammaproteobacteria; Enterobacterales; Enterobacteriaceae
Description: partial 23S ribosomal RNA
Rfam family: Bacterial large subunit ribosomal RNA
Source: RNAcentral